RNAcentral lists this ribosomal RNA (286 nucleotides) under uncultured Desulfuromonas sp. RNAcentral describes it as "partial 16S ribosomal RNA". It matches the Rfam family "Bacterial small subunit ribosomal RNA", at positions 505 to 790 of the family's 1533-position model. The record is from RNAcentral. Lineage: Bacteria; Pseudomonadati; Thermodesulfobacteriota; Desulfuromonadia; Desulfuromonadales; Desulfuromonadaceae.
GUGCCAGCCGCCGCGGUAAUACGGAGGGUGCGAGCGUUGUUCGGAAUUAUUGGGCGUAAAGCGCGUGUAGGCGGCCUUUUAAGUCUGAUGUGAAAGCCCCGGGCUCAACCUGGGAAGUGCAUUGGAAACUGGAAGGCUUGAGUACGGGAGAGGGUAGUGGAAUUCCGAGUGUAGGGGUGAAAUCCGUAGAUAUUCGGAGGAACACCGGUGGCGAAGGCGGCUACCUGGACCGAUACUGACGCUGAGACGCGAAAGCGUGGGGAGCAAACAGGAUUAGAAACCCUAG